Pelobates cultripes (western spadefoot toad) is the source of this 1702-nucleotide non-coding RNA. Lineage: Eukaryota; Metazoa; Chordata; Amphibia; Anura; Pelobatidae. The record is from the annotation of a GenBank genome assembly.
UACACAUUUAUCAGAUGGAAGAUGUGAUGAAAUUAACUCAACGUGUUCAGUAAUUUUAAUAGAAUGCUAUUUUACCAGGGUUGAGAACGAGAGAAUUUCUGCAAAGCAACACAUACCUAACAAUACCCAGAAGGUUAUUUACUAAUAUUAUCAGGAAUUUAAAGACACUAGACCAGAAAUGGUCUGGGUGCAGUGUCCCGGGUCCCUUAACCAUGCAAAGGCAAUUAUUGCAGUUUUUAAGUAACUGCAAUCACUACCUUUGAGGGUUAACUCCACCUCUAGUGGCUGUCUACCUAAGGGACUUCCGUGUCAUUUGCCUAACUGACGCUGGACAUCCUCACAUGAUGCAUGAGGACGUCCAGCAUCACCCAAGUGCCCAUAGGAAAGUAUUGUACAAGUUCUAAUGCGAGUGCAGCAAUCAUCGUGCAUAUGCAUUAGGUCUCCCCCGCCGGUUGACAUUGAUUGAAGAGAAACCGAGGCGGAGCCCGAAUGAGCACAGAGACAUCGGUGCUGAACUCUGGUAAGUAACAGAAGGGUUUUUAACAAAAUAGGAAGCUGUUUUCCUGGCACUAUAGUUUCCCUUUAGUUACUCUUAAAGUGUUAAAAUAACACUUUAGGCACCAUAAUCACCUCUUCUCAUUGAAGUGCUUGUGGUUCCUGGUGUCAUUCCACGAGUCAAUAUUAAAGGAGACAUUUGUUUCAUACUUACCAUAAUUUUCUUUUCCUGGCUAUUUUCCAUGACAGCAUCACUGAUGGGUUUAAUCACACCUCCCAGGUGAAAGGACAGGAUCUUAAAAGAAAUUAAACAAUGAAAUCAUAUAAAAGCCUCUAAGGCAACUUUGUCUAAACAUAAAGGUAAGGAAAAACUUCUGUUCUUCCUAUCUAAUCUAGCUUUAAGCAGAGUCCCUGGAGAGAUUCCUGAUUUUACUAGAGAAUCCCUUUCACAAGCAAUAGGUUGAUAGCUAUAGAGCUGGUCCUUGAUGGAGAAGAUAGAUCCAAGGUUACUGAAGGUUUCAUGCUCAUAAGCCAUGUAAACAAAGCUCUAUGAGGCCAAAAUGGAAGCAUGGUGAUCAUCUUAAGUUUGGAGUUCCAAAAUUUUCUAAAGGAUCGGUGAAUGAAAGCAAUUGGAGGGAAGAUGUUACCCAAAUUGAAUGUUCACAUUUGUAUUGGUGCAUAUUGAGCUUCUGCUUGGAAUUUGUGGUUUCGAGAAAAGAAUCUUGGAAACUGAACAUUCCUGGAAGAAGCCAUCAGAUCUGUUUGAGGCAUUCUCCUGCAUCCAGGGUUGAUCUACUCAGGAAAUCCCCUAUACAUUAUCCUUCCCCAGAAAGUAGACUCAUCUGAGACACACAAAAUGUUGUUGACACCAAAGAAUGAUUCGUCUCAAUUCGCUUAUGAGAUUUGCGAUCCUCGUCCCUCUUUGGUGAUUUAUACAUGACGCAGCAGUCUUGUUGUCCAUCUUGACCUUUCAGACAUUAAGGUACACUAUAAAUUAUCCCAUGAAGCAGUUUAAUGUCUAACAUGAAACCUGACCCAUUUAGUCCUGACAAGCUAGGCUGUAUACUGGAUCUUUCAGAGGGAGAGAGGCUGAACUAUCUCUGGCUAUAACCGGGUGAGGCCAAAAUAAAAAUGUUAAAUCUUCAAACUACUUGCCUGUCACCCGAGUACAGGAAAAAAACUGGAAAGGAAGGACUUUUAUAUGAUC